GUUUGUGUAGCUUAACUCAAAGCAUAGCACUGAAAAUGCUCAGAUGAACCCUAACCAGUUCCAUAAAC
RNAcentral lists this transfer RNA (68 nucleotides) under Sminthopsis douglasi (Julia Creek dunnart). RNAcentral describes it as "transfer RNA-Phe". It matches the Rfam family "tRNA". Rfam says of the family: Transfer RNA (tRNA) molecules are approximately 80 nucleotides in length. Their secondary structure includes four short double-helical elements and three loops (D, anti-codon, and T loops). The record is from RNAcentral. Lineage: Eukaryota; Metazoa; Chordata; Mammalia; Dasyuromorphia; Dasyuridae.